RNAcentral lists this ribosomal RNA (483 nucleotides) under uncultured marine eukaryote. RNAcentral describes it as "SSU rRNA". It matches the Rfam family "Eukaryotic small subunit ribosomal RNA", at positions 631 to 1129 of the family's 1831-position model. The record is from RNAcentral.
UAGUUGGAUUUCUGCGAGAGUAUGAUGUCCUAACGUGUUUAGAGCGCAGAAAACUCUUGCAUCCUUCUGUUACCUCCACGUGGCAUUCACUUGCCAGUGGUUGGCUCAGAGAAUUUACCUUGAGAAAAUUAGAGUGUUUCAGGCAGGCUAGGCCGGAAUACAUUAGCAUGGAAUAAUAGAAUAGGACUCCGGUCUCGUUGUUGGUUUGAGGGACUAUAGUAAUGAUUAAUAGGGACAGUUGGGGGCAUUAGUAUUCGAUUGUCAGAGGUGAAAUUCUCAGAUUUAUUGAAGACUAACUUAUGCGAAAGCAUUUGCCAAGGAUGUUUUCAUUAAUCAAGAACGAAAGUUAGGGGAUCAAAGACGAUCAGAUACCGUCCUAGUCUUAACCAUAAACUAUGCCGACUCGGGAUCGGGGGCGUGUUAUUAUCCGCCUUCGGCACCGUAUGAGAAAUCAAAGUCUUUGGGUUCUGGGGGGAGUAUGGU